RNAcentral lists this ribosomal RNA (253 nucleotides) under uncultured bacterium. RNAcentral describes it as "partial 16S ribosomal RNA". It matches the Rfam family "Bacterial small subunit ribosomal RNA", at positions 524 to 776 of the family's 1533-position model. The record is from RNAcentral.
GACGGAGGGUGCAAGCGUUGCUCGGAAUCAUUGGGCGUAAAGGGUGCGUAGGCGGCUUUUUAAGCCUGACGUGAAAGCCCAAGGCUCAGCCUUGGAAGUGCGCCAGAAACUGAAAGGCUUGAGUGCCGGAGAGGAGACUGGAAUUCCUGGUGUAGCAGUGAAAUGCGUAGAUAUCAGGAGGAACACCGAUGGCGAAGGCAGGUCUCUGGGCUGACACUGACGCUCAUGCACGAAAGCGUGGGGAGCAAACAGG